RNAcentral lists this ribosomal RNA (255 nucleotides) under uncultured bacterium. RNAcentral's name for it is "partial 16S ribosomal RNA". It matches the Rfam family "Bacterial small subunit ribosomal RNA", at positions 162 to 405 of the family's 1533-position model. The record is from RNAcentral.
AUUAAUACCGCAUAAUAUGUUUAGAUCGCAUGAUCUUAACAUCAAAGGAAUUUCUUCGGAAAUUUCACUUUGAGAUGGACCCGCGGCGCAUUAGCUAGUUGGUGAGGUAAAGGCCCACCAAGGCAACGAUGCGUAGCCGACCUGAGAGGGUGAUCGGCCACAUUGGAACUGAGACACGGUCCAGACUCCUACGGGAGGCAGCAGUGGGGAAUAUUGCGCAAGGGGGGAAACCCUGACGCAGCAACGCCGCGUGAA